GACGAACGCUGGCGGCGUGCUUAACACAUGCAAGUCGAACGGAAAGGCCCUGCUUUUGUGGGGUGCUCGAGUGGCGCACGGGUGAGUAACACGUGAGUAACCUGCCCUUGACUUUGUGAUAACUUCAGGAAACUGGGGCUAAUACCGGAUAGGAGCUCCUGCCGCAUGGUGGGGGUUGGAAAGUUUCGGCGGUUGGGGAUGGACUCGCGGCUUCUCCGCUUGUUGGUGGGGUAGUUGCUUACCAAGGCUUUGACGGGUAGCCGGCCUGAGAGGGUGACCGGCGACAUGGGGACUGAGAUACGGCCCAGAAUCCUACGGGAGGCAGCAGUGGGGAAUAUUGCACAAUGGGCGGAAGCCUGAUGUAGCAACGCCGCGUGCGGGAUGACGGCCUUCGGGUUGUAAACCGCUGUCGCCGGUGACGAAGCGUGAGUGACGGUAAUGGGUAAAGAAGCACCGGCUAACUACGUG
Molecule: ribosomal RNA, 468 nt
Filed under: uncultured bacterium
Lineage: Bacteria
Description: partial 16S ribosomal RNA
Rfam family: Bacterial small subunit ribosomal RNA
Source: RNAcentral